UACAGGGGGUGCAAACGUUGCUCGGAAUUAUUGGGCGUAAAGCGCGCGUAGGCGGCUACCUAAGUCGGAUGUGAAAGCCCCUGGCUUAACCGGGGAAGUGCACCCGAGACUGGGUAGCUAGAGUGCAAAAGAGGGUCGCGGAAUUCCCAGUGUAGAGGUGAAAUUCGUAGAUAUUGGGAGGAACACCGGUGGCGAAGGCGGCGACCUGGGUUGACACUGACGCUGAGGCGCGAAAGCGUGGGGAGCAAACAGG
RNAcentral lists this ribosomal RNA (253 nucleotides) under uncultured bacterium. RNAcentral's name for it is "partial 16S ribosomal RNA". It matches the Rfam family "Bacterial small subunit ribosomal RNA", at positions 524 to 776 of the family's 1533-position model. The record is from RNAcentral.